Long non-coding RNA from Varanus komodoensis (Komodo dragon), 210 nucleotides. RefSeq lists it as uncharacterized. The record is from RefSeq and is a predicted model, not a curated record. The transcript has 3 exons. Lineage: Eukaryota; Metazoa; Chordata; Lepidosauria; Squamata; Varanidae.
CAAGGACCUAACAGAGGCAGAAUAGAUUAAGAAGAAGUGGCAAGAUUAUACAGAAGAACUACCCAAGAAAGAGCUUAACAUACCUGAUAACCACGAUGGGGUGGACGCUGACGUCGAGCCAGACAUCCUCGAGUGUGAAGUCAAAUAAACCUUAGAAAGUCUUAGCAACAACAAAACUAGUGGAGGAGACGGUAUUCCAGCUGAGCUAUU